This 468-nucleotide ribosomal RNA is filed under the name uncultured bacterium. RNAcentral's name for it is "partial 16S ribosomal RNA". It matches the Rfam family "Bacterial small subunit ribosomal RNA", at positions 28 to 507 of the family's 1533-position model. The record is from RNAcentral.
GACGAACGCUGGCGGCGUGCUUAACACAUGCAAGUCGAACGGAAAGGCCCUGCUUUUGUGGUGUUCUCGAUUGGCGAACGGGUGUGUAACACUUGAGUAACCUUCCCUUGACUUUGGGAUAACUUCUGGUAACUUGUACUAAUACCGUAUAGGAUCUCCUUCUGCAUGGUGUUGGUUGGUAAGUUUCGGGGGUUGGGGAUUGACUCGCGGCUUAUCAGCUUGUUGGUGGGGUAGUGGCUUACCAAGGCUUUGACGGGUAGCCGGCAUGAGAGGGUGACCGGCCACAUUGGGACUGAGAUAGGGAACAGAAUCGUACGGGAGGCAGCAGUGGGGAAUAUUGCACAAUGGGCGGAAGCCUGAUGAAGCAACGCCGCGUGCGGGAUGACGGCCUUCGGGUUGUAAACAGAUUUCGAAUGUGACGAAGCGUGAGUGACGGUAAUGGGUAAAGAAGCACCGGCUAACUACGUG